Molecule: ribosomal RNA, 451 nt
Filed under: uncultured bacterium
Lineage: Bacteria
Description: bacterial SSU rRNA
Rfam family: Bacterial small subunit ribosomal RNA
Source: RNAcentral
AACGAACGCUGGCGGCAGGCUUAACACAUGCAAGUCGAACGGGUGCAGCAAUGCAUCAGUGGCAGACGGGUGAGUAACACGUGGGAACCUUCCUAGGGGUACGGAACAACUCAGGGAAACUUGAGCUAAUACCGUAUACGUCCGUGAGGAGAAAGAUUUAUCGCCCUUAGACGGGCCCGCGUCGGAUUAGCUAGUUGGUGGGGUAACGGCCUACCAAGGCGACGAUCCGUAGCUGAUCUUAGAGGAUGAUCAGCCACACUGGGACUGAGACACGGCCCAGACUCCUACGGGAGGCAGCAGUGGGGAAUCUUGGACAAUGGGCGCAAGCCUGAUCCAGCCAUGCCGCGUGAGUGAAGAAGGUCUUCGGAUUGUAAAGCUCUUUUGCCAGGGACGAUAAUGACGGUACCUGGAGAAUAAGCCCCGGCAACUUCGUGCCAGCAGCCGCGGUAAU